Molecule: transfer RNA, 82 nt
Filed under: Danio rerio (zebrafish)
Lineage: Eukaryota; Metazoa; Chordata; Actinopteri; Cypriniformes; Danionidae
Rfam family: tRNA
About the family: Transfer RNA (tRNA) molecules are approximately 80 nucleotides in length.
Source: Rfam by way of RNAcentral
ACCAGGAUGGCCAAGUGGUUAAGGCAUUGAACUUUAUGUCCAAUGGACAGACACCUCGUGGGUUCAAACCCCACUCCUGGAA